RNAcentral lists this ribosomal RNA (479 nucleotides) under uncultured bacterium. Its description in RNAcentral is "bacterial SSU rRNA". It matches the Rfam family "Bacterial small subunit ribosomal RNA", at positions 28 to 507 of the family's 1533-position model. The record is from RNAcentral.
GAUGAACGCUAGCGGGAGGCCUAACACAUGCAAGCCGAGCGGUAUUGUUUCUUCGGAAAUGAGAGAGCGGCGUACGGGUGCGGAACACGUGUGCAACCUGCCUUUAUCUGGGGGAUAGCCUUUCGAAAGGGAGAUUAAUACUCCAUAACAUAUUGAACGGCAUCGUUUAAUAUUGAAAGCUCCGGCGGAUAGAGAUGGGCACGCGCAAGAUUAGCUAGUUGGUGAGGUAACGGCUCACCAAGGCGAUGAUCUUUAGGGGGCCUGAGAGAGUGAUCCCCCACACUGGUACUGAGACACGGACCAGACUCCUACGGGAGGCAGCAGUGAGGAAUAUUGGUCAAUGGGUGCAAGCCUGAACCAGCCAUCCCGCGUGAAGGACGACUGCCCUAUGGGUUGUAAACUUCUUUUGUAUAGGGAUAAACCUACCCUCGUGAGGGUAGCUGAAGGUACUAUACGAAUAAGCACCGGCUAACUCCGUG